AGGGGCCCAUGGAUGGACGGGUGGAGGUGGGGUGUUGGCUAGGAAGAGAUUGAUGGGGCACGGGGGGGGAGGAGUGGGUGAGGCAACAGGGAAGGGGAGCUCAGGGCAGCGGGGUGCUAUAUGGGGGCAAUGGGGAGGGAGUUAGGGCGGUACAUGGAGGGGGUGGUGGUGGGACCCAAGGUGGAGAUGGGUCUGGAGUUGUGUAUACACACACGCCUAUCUCUGAGCUUUGCUGACACCCUAAGAGAGGGCCGAGGCCUGCCGUCAUGUGGCUAUCAUUUCUUGGAAGAAACUGAACAUUUUUGGAUUCAGGUUUUUAACAAUUUUGGUAGUACUGCUGAUAUUAUUAAACUAAUACCUAAGGAUCUAUUUGCUGAGCUAUGUGAGCGAAUUAUUCAGCAUCUUCACUGUCAGAUCCCAGGUGUAAAUACAGUAGAACUAUGCCAGAGAUUUCAAACAGCUGGAGUUGAAAUGAACGUUGCUGACCUAGCAAAGAUAAUUAAUGUUGUUUCCUUUUUAUUCAGCACAGCAGCCAAAAACAACCUCUCUGCAGAAGAACUCUCCACUGGUCUGGGUAAUGUAAUCAGUAUGCUGCCAAAACAUGCAGUUCAGGUUAUUCGCCAUAUGUGGAAUGAACAGGGCAAAUCUAUCAUUAUGUCAGAAGAUGCUAGAAAUAUGGCCACAGUGGGACAGAUUAUAGAUAUUCAGUGGAAACUGGGAAUGGCAGUGAGCUCUGACAGCUGCAGGUCUCUUAAGUAUCCUUACGUUACAAUGACACUAAAAGUGGCAGAGCCGUCGGGCCAGAUAAUGAGCAGAUCUUUUGAAUUGACAAUCCCACAGUUCCAGGACUUCUUCAGACAUUUCAAGGAAAUGGCAGCUGUUCUUGAAACAGUUUGAGCAAAACUGUUUAAACACUUCAAAGACACACUUUACUUGAUCCAAAUAAGCCUUCCUAUCUUGCACAAGUAAUUAAAGUGUCAAUGUUUAAGUAAGAUCCUGGGGUAUAUGGCUUUCUUCCCAAGAGGUUCAGAGACGGGCAUAGAUGUGACUUGCAAGCUUCCUACCUCUGGAGCUCCUAAAGGCAGCAGGGGAUCUGACUGUAGCCUUCUCUACAUCUUCAGGAGUUGGUAUUUGGGCCAGCUCCUGCAUUGUUGGAAGCUGGUGAUGACUGCUUUGGUGAAAGUUGGAAGCUGGUGAUGACUGCUUUGGUGAACGCGUCAUUGAGGUGCCAGGCCUACACUGGGAAUGGCAGUUAAGGACAAGUCUACACUCCAGCCUAAGUCGAUAUAACUUACGUUGCUCAGGGGUGUGAACCCCCACCCAUGAGCAACAAGUUUUGCACUGUCCACACCAGCGCUAUGUCGGCGGGAGACGCUCUCCUGUCAGCAUACCACAUCUUUACCAGAUGCACUACAGCAGCACAGCUCAGUGCAGCUGAGCCAACGUAGCACCUAAGGCAGUGUCACAGAUAAUGACAUCCUUUGAGUAGAGUUCUUUGUAAUGCUCAAUCCAUCGGUCAAGUUGUUUUUGCCUGUCAGUUAAUAUGGUAUGAUCUUUUGCUUUUAGGUUUGCGGUCUUUUUACAAGAUGGACCCAGUGCUUCUUUAAUUGCACUAUAGGUACCACAAAGGUCCCCUCUUUCAAACAGAUCUGAAUCUUUCUGCACAGGUCUUGCCAAUACUUCUGGGCACUUUCUUUGGUGGCUUUCUGAACCUCAGCCUUACCCUCUUUAAACUUGAGAGUUCUGGUCUUAGGUGGUUGUUAAAGUAAAGUUAGGUGAGGAUUUUUUCCCCCCCUAUAAGUGGGAGCAGCAGAUGUUCAGAUGCUGCAAACCAAUCAAGAUGUUUUUUCUCUGUUGUUCCAAAGCCAUCCUUGGCAGUAACCAGAAUCAUCUUAUUAAAUUUUUCCCACAAGGUGUCAAAAUCAGGGGAAUCAGGUUGAUCAUUUUAAAAAACAAGCUCAUGCACACAUUGAAACUUUGCACAAGUAUCAGAAUCCUUCAUGUUAGUGAUGUUGAGGCAAGGUUUACCUUUUCGCUUUGCAUAACAGAUCUUUUUAUGAUGCAAUUGGAGCUUGGCCCUCAAAAGAGCAUGCUCAGUGUCACAAUCAGCACUAGGCAUUGAUUGAACGUGCAAUACAUUGCAAAUGUUUCUGCGACAGAUCAGGAUAAGAUCAAGCUGACGCCCAUGUGCUGAGUGAGGGUGCCUCCAUAUGACCUUUCUGCGGCUGCUGCCACCUGCCAGCAAAAUAGGUGUUUGGGACUAUCUGCUCACAAAAGGCACAAAGUUCAAGAACAGCUGGCCAUUUCUGUUGAGGCUACUUGUGCUGUAUUGACCAAUGAUGUGUCCCUUGUGCUCCCAAUCCUUACCCACACAGGUGAGUCUGUCCCCGGAAAAAAAAUUAAGUAUUUAUUCCAGCUGAGAAUAAAACUCAUCUUUUUGCUGUUUGGAAUAAUCAAGUGUUGGGCCAUAAAUGGACAGAAGAGUCAGUCACACAGAGUUUGUGUUUGUAUCCAGCUGCAUGAUCCUCUUAUUGAUAGGUACUGGAAGGGGUACAUACACUGAGGACAGACUUCUUGACAGCAUAUCCAACAUCACGUAUCAUUAGUUCAUUGUCAGGUUUCCCAGAUGAGUAGAACUGAUAAUUUCUUAGAUCCAAUUUCUGAAAGCCUCGUCUCAUUGAGGGCUGCAAUAUCAAUGCCCAAUUGAUGUAUUCUCUAUCAGUUAGAAUCUUUCAGUUCAAGUCUGGUUAACAUAGUAUGAACAUUUCAGCAAGCACUGAUUAGUUUAGUUUAGAGCCUGGAAAGAAACUGGAAGGGAGCUUUUUUAACCCACCGUUCCUAGUGCCUUCCCCAGAUUGGGGCAAGCAGGCCACUCCUAAAUAGGGCUGCUUGGAGAUUUGAGCCACUGCUGAACACCUGGGUCCUUCUCCACCAGAAGGAGCAAUGGUCGAGCACCACCAGCUUAGGUUAAAACUUCCCCAAGGCACAAAUUCCUUUCCUUGUCCUUGGACGGUAUUGCUGCCACCACCAAGUGAAUUAAACAAACAUUUAGGGAGGGCCACUUGGAGCCCUAUCCCCACAAAAUAUCCCCCCAAGCCCCUUCACCCCAUAUCCAGGGGAGGCUUGAGAAUAAUAUACUAACCAACUGGUUACAAUGUAAGCACAGACCAAAUCCCUGGGUUUUUAGUACACUGAACAUUAAUCAGGUUCUUAAAAGAAGAAUUUUUUUUUUAAAAAGUAAAAGAAUUGCACCUGCAAAAUCAGGAUGGAAGGUAACUUUACAGGGUAAAUAAAAAGACUUAAAACACAGAGGAUUCCCCUCUGACUCUGCUUCCCAGUUACAAAACAGGAAUGAAAUUACCUCUUAGCAUAGGGAAAAUUCACAAGCUAAAAGAAAAGAUAAUCUAACGCAUUUCCUUGCCUUACUUACAAUUUUUUAAAUUUUAGAUGCUCAUUUUAGGUAUGUUUUUAGGAGAUGUUUUUCCUGUCCGGACCCUCUCUCUCUUGCGAGAAGGGACACACAAAGAGAGCACAAACAAAACCUCCCCCUGAUUUGAAAGUAUCUUCUUUUCCCAUUGGUUCUUCUGGUCAGGUGCCAACUAGGUUAAUUGAACUGAUUAACCCCUUACAGGUAAGGUGAUUCUGUAUCUUUGGCCAGGAGGGAUUUUAUGUUACUGCAUACAUAAGGGUUAUUACCCUUCCCUUUAUAUCUAUGACAAGGCUCAUCUGCUUUUCUGGGAACAUUUCCUUCCCCCAUUGGUUCCACUACUCCACCCCUUAGCACAGCUCGGCCUGAAGCCGUUGGAGCUUCUCCUGAUAUUAAGCGCCACCUGUCACUCCCCAUUGCAUCGCUGGCUGCACCAUCUAAACAUUCAUUGGUGAAUCCCAGGAAAGGGCCUGGUUCGAUGCUGAAAGAUGUGUAAAAGAAUUAAGUUGAGAAGAGAGAGGACUGGUUUUGAAAACUGAAACUGUGGUAGCUGGAUUAAAGGUUUAGAACUUAAUUAUCUCAAAAAUACUAAUGUUUAUGUAAAUGUGUAGGUUUAUAAAGAAUUUAGCACUAAAAAUAAAUUGUGUGGAUCAAAAUAACCAAAUCUAACAUCACAUUAAGCAAGUCAGCCAAAUGAAACAUUAAAUCAACUAGCUUUACAUAAGUGAGCAGCAACAGUAAUAAAAAGAUAAAUCUCUGGCUAUUUUACAGAUGCUAUACGAAGACACACACAUAUAUUAGAAUAAACCCCAGAAUUUCAAUCUCAAGUUUCAUAUAUUUCUAGUUUUCCCCAUUUCUUCACCAUCUGCCUUAGAGAAACAUUCAAUAAAACUGGAGUAUGUCCUUAGGAGAUGAAAUACACACCCUAUCUAUAAUUGUAUCUAAAAUACAAAAUGCUAUUUUGUUGAGAAAACCAGCAAACAAUAAUUAUUUGCAGUUUCUACUUUCCCAACUGAAAAGACUGCUUGCUCUUGUUGAGCAAUAUGGAGGUAUGAUUUACUGCUGCUGCUUGCAGGAGGCACCUUGUCCAAUCUCAGCCACUUUCAGAAUUAUAUUUUAACAAUGAGAUUCAUAUGUUAUUAGCCCUGCCUUCUCCCUUCCUGAUUAACAUUAUUAUUUGUAUUACUGCCUAAGUGCUGCCCUAGUCAUAUACCAGGACCCCACUGAGCUUGCCCAGAGUAGUAUGGUAGCGUGUGGAAUUCCAGUGUAGGAGAUAGAAAAUGCAACUGACCAUCAACAAAACAAUACUGACUACAUAAAGUAAAGAAACUCAAAAAAGGAAGAGUAUAUUUUUCUCUAUGUGUCUUCUAGUAACAUGGGGGAUUGUUUGUAACUAUGUAUUGUAAAAAAUAGUGUUAGUGAAACAGUUUUGUGCCACAUCUGAUACUUCCUACAAAAAUACCACUAUAACCCUAUUGAGAUGAAGUGCAUCUGAUGAAGUGAGCUGUAGCUCACACAAGCUUAUGCUCAAAUAAAUUUGUUAAUUGCUAAGGUGCCACAAGUACUCCUUUCUAUUGCGAUGUUAACUCGUGUCUGAUUGGCCCAUGAUACCCAUCCUCCAUCACCCACUUGUUACAUUUUCAAACAAGCACCUUCAUGCUUCCUCCCAUACUGCACGCACACUUUGGAGGAGUUCCCCAUAAACAUCUGCAAAACCAACUAAUUUUUCUCCUUCAAACCCUUCCUUUCUGUGUUUUGAAAACAGUUAGGAUGCUGUAGUGCUGUUCAAUAUUGUCUCAUGAUUCCCUUAUACUCCCCUCUAUCUGUAUUAAUUUGUUGUCUCUUGUCUUAUAGACUGUAAACUCUUUGUGGCAGGGGCUGUUUUUUGUUCUGUUUGUACAGUGUCUAGCACAAAGUGGUCCUUGACUAGGGCUCCUAGCCACUACAGUAAUGCAAAUAAUAAAUAAUAAUCCACUGCUCAGUGUGUGUUACAUGUCCUUGAGUCAGGAUGUAAACCUGUUGAAUUCCCCAGCACGAAAGACUGCUUCUUUAGUUCAAGUUGUAGAUACUUAAGCUUUCAGCUCCAGAAGUUCCUGGUUCAAGCAACUGUGUUGGUCAAGACAAUAACCAUUACACUAUAUUACUAUGAACUAACUAGGGCUUGAAGCUAUUGCUAUUUGAUACCGCAAACGUGUACAAAAGGAAAUAGUCAAGAAAAAUAUUUCAAUGUCAUGAACAUGGGUUGUAUGGGAUUGAAAAGGAAUUGUCCAUAUGUGUCUUCAAGCAAAAAAAAACAACAACAACAAAAAAAUUUGUGGUAGGUGGCAAAUUUGACAUCAAAAGAGGCAUCAUAACAAGAAAAAUAAGCCUAAAAAUCCAACACUCGCAAAAAUGAAAAUAUUUAAGCAAAAAAAAAAAAAAAAUUAAAU
This is an RNA transcript of Chelonia mydas (Green sea turtle), 5856 nucleotides long. It is a transcript of the gene named COMM domain containing 6, with no coding region annotated. Lineage: Eukaryota; Metazoa; Chordata; Testudines; Cheloniidae. The transcript is spliced from 8 exons. The record is from RefSeq and is a predicted model, not a curated record.